Molecule: ribosomal RNA, 429 nt
Filed under: Carrhotus xanthogramma
Lineage: Eukaryota; Metazoa; Arthropoda; Arachnida; Araneae; Salticidae
Description: partial 16S ribosomal RNA
Source: RNAcentral
UUCUAUUAGAAUAUUCACUAAUAGUAAAAUCUGCUCAAUGAAUAUUAAAUAGCCGCAAUUUAGUGCUAAGGUAGCAUAAUCAUUUGUCUUUUAAAUGAAGACUAGAACAAAAGAUUUAACAUUUUAGCUUAUUUCUUUUUUAAUAUAUUAAAUUUAUCUUAAAAGUAAAAAGACUUUUAUUUAUUAGAAAGACGACAAGACCCUAUUGAACUUUACUUAAGUUUUACUGGGGCAGUAAAUUAAUUAUAAUUUUAAUUUAAUUAAAUAUUUAUCGAUCCAAAUAAUUGAUAACUCAGUUACCAUAGGGAUAACAGCAUAAUUAAUUUUAAAAGAACUUAUUUAAAAAAUAGAUUGUGACCUCGAUGUUGAAUUAAUAACCUAAUUGAAGCAAAAGUUAAAUAAGGAAGUCUGUUCGACUUUUAAAAAAUU